Molecule: Y RNA, 113 nt
Filed under: Propithecus coquereli (Coquerel's sifaka)
Lineage: Eukaryota; Metazoa; Chordata; Mammalia; Primates; Indriidae
Description: Y RNA (ENSPCOG00000006639.1)
Rfam family: Y RNA
About the family: Y RNAs are components of the Ro ribonucleoprotein particle (Ro RNP), in association with Ro60 and La proteins. The Y RNAs and Ro60 and La proteins are well conserved, but the function of the Ro RNP is not known.
Source: Rfam by way of RNAcentral
UGCCGGUCCGAAGGUAGUGAGUUACCUCAUUUGAUUGUUCAGAGUCAGUUACAGAUUGAACUCCUUGUUUUACUCUUUCUCCCCUUCUCACUACUGCACUUGACUAGUCUUAA